UCUUUCUCUCUCUCUCAUUCUCUCUCUCAAAUAAAUCAAUUUAAAAAAUCUUAAAAAAAAAGGAAUUGCUUUACCCAUGUCAAACUAGAAAGUACAUGGAAUGAAAGGAAUGAUGAGAUAAGACUAAAAUUUACUUCUUGCUUCCACAUUUGCAGACACAUUCUGUUUCAAAUUUUCUAUUUUCUGGGACAGAAGAAUUUUCCCUUAGAAUGAGGAACUUCUAAGACUCUAUCCAAGAGAUGCCAUGUGAAAAGAUAAAAAGUGAUCUCCAGGAUAUACUCUGUAGUGAUUAAAAUCAUGGGGCAGAAAACUGAGUGGAGCUGUUGCUGUCCAGUACAGUAGGCACUGGCCACCAUGACUAUUUAAAUGUAAGUUAAUCAAAUUUAGAAUAAAUUAAAAAUUGAUGUCCUUAGUCCCACUCACCACAUUUCAGGUGUUCCACAGCCACAGGUAACUAAUGGCUACUAUGUUGGACAAGGAAGACUGACAAAACCAGAACAGAAUCUCUAAGCACAAUGGGACAACUACGAAAGGAGUAACAUACAUGUCACGGGAUUACAAAAAGGGAAGGAAGAAAGGAACAGAAGAAAUAUUUGAAAAAAACUACUAAGAUUUUCCCCACCUUAAUGCCAGACAACAAACCACAGACCCAGGAAGAACAGAGAACACCAAGCUUGAUAUACGCCCCCCAAAAUUUAUACCUUGCCACCUCAUUUUCAAACUACAGAAAAUCAAAAAUAAAGAAAAUAUCACGAAAGAAGCCAAAGGAAACACCUUCCCUAUAGAAGAGCAAAGAUAAGAAUCAUAUCUGACUUCUCAGAAAACAUACAAGCAAGAAGAGAAAAAGAUCCACCAAUCUUGACAUCUGUACCUGUCAAAUUGUCCUUCAGAAGAAACAGAGAAAAUAAAGACAUUCUCAGAAAACCAAAAAUUGAGGAAAUGUGUUAUCAGUUGACGUGCCUUGCAAGAAAUAUUAGGAGUUCUUUACAGAGAAAGAAAAUGAUAUAGGUCAGAAACUCAGAUUUACAUAAAGACUGGAAGAGCUUUGAAGAAGGAAUAAGUGAAAGUAAAAUAAAAACUUUUCUUUUUCUUAUUUUUAAUUGAUUUAACAGAAAACAGUUUUGUUUGAAAUUAGAACAUCAAGAAUGCAUUCAACUGUAUAUGGUCUUAUGUAAAUAUAUACACUGAUAUAUUUUAUGUGUAAGUGAAAUGAGAUGAAUAACAACAAUGAUAGCAGGGAUGGGAAGAAUGAAUUUGGAUUAUUUUGUUAUUAAAAAUACUUGCUCUA
Molecule: non-coding RNA, 1288 nt
Organism: Leptonychotes weddellii (Weddell seal)
Lineage: Eukaryota; Metazoa; Chordata; Mammalia; Carnivora; Phocidae
Source: RefSeq, a predicted model, not a curated record